GCUGCGGGCUCCGGACUUUGACAAUCCCCCGCGUGCGAUCCCAGGUCAGGCGGGGCUACCCGCUGAGUUUAAGCAUAUCAAUAAGCGGAGGAAAAGAAACUAACGAGGAUUCCCUUAGUAGCGGCGAGCGAAUCGGGAAGAGCCCAGCAUGAGAAUCGUCCGUCAUCGGCGGCCGAAUUGUAGUCUGGAGAAGCGUCCCUCAGUGACGGACCGGACCCAAGUUCACUGGAAGGUGGCGCCGGAGAGGGUGAGAGCCCC
RNAcentral lists this ribosomal RNA (258 nucleotides) under Bellucia grossularioides. RNAcentral's name for it is "partial 26S ribosomal RNA". The stretch from base 36 to 258 matches the Rfam family "Eukaryotic large subunit ribosomal RNA", at positions 1 to 222 of the family's 3401-position model. The record is from RNAcentral. Lineage: Eukaryota; Viridiplantae; Streptophyta; Magnoliopsida; Myrtales; Melastomataceae.